This 1901-nucleotide ribosomal RNA is filed under the name Acytostelium subglobosum. Its description in RNAcentral is "SSU rRNA". It matches the Rfam family "Eukaryotic small subunit ribosomal RNA". The record is from RNAcentral. Lineage: Eukaryota; Evosea; Eumycetozoa; Acytosteliales; Acytosteliaceae.
AACCUGGUUGAUCCUGCCAGUAGUCAUAUGCUUGUCUCAAAGAUUAAGCCAUGCAUGUCUAAGUAUAAACCUCUAUAUGGUGAAACUGCAGACGGCUCAUUACAACAGUGAUAAACUACAAGACUUUCGCGCUUCGGCGUUAUGGAUAACCGCAGUAAAUCGGGGCUAAUACAUAUAAACGAAAGACGAGCAAGCAAUUGCGAGUUCUUGCGAUUUUUAGCUACUAAAAUCGACCCUUUUAGGUCGUGUUGAAACCGAAAAAUAUUGCUGAUCGAGAAUUUCUCGACAAGUCUUAUGUGUCACUGCCCUAUCAACUCGAUGGUACGGUAUUGGCCUACCAUGGUUGCAACGGGUAACGGGGAAUUAGGGUUCGAUUCCGGAGAGGGAGCCUGAGAAAUGGCUGCCACUUCUACGGAAGGCAGCAGGCGCGCAAAUUACUCAAUUCCGAUACGGAGAAGUAGUGACAAUAAAUACAAAUGCUUUUCAAUUUUUUUGAGAGCAAUUUGAAUAAGUACAACUUAAAUCGCUUAGCUAAAGUGAUUGGAGGGCAAGUCUGGUGCCAGCAGCCGCGGUAAUUCCAGCUCCAAUAGCGUAUACUAAAUUUGUUGCAGUUAAAACGCUCGUAGUUAAAGUAAAGGUUACUUGGAUAAACAAGAAUAAUUUUUUUUAGAAUUAUUUAACGAAUUUUUAAUUAUUUUCAUAGUUAAAUUUUCACCAAGUUCCUUAUUUUUGGACUUAAAAAUUUAUUUUUUUGUCUAGUCUACUGUGAGAAAAUUGUAGUGUUUAAAGCAAGCUAUCAGCUUGAUCAAUGCAGCAUGGUAUAGAAAAAUAUGACACUAAGUAUUUUGUUGGUUUAAUACUCUAGUGUAAUGAUUAAUAGGGAAUGGCGGGGCCGUUCGUAUUGAUGGGCGAGAGGUGAAAUUCGUUGACCCUAUCAAGACGUACAACAGCGAAAGCAUUCGGCAAGUAUUUCUCCAUUAAUCAAGAACGAAAGUUUGGGGAUCGAAGACGAUCAGAUACCGUCGUAGUCCAAACCAUAAACAAUGUCGACCAGGGAUUGGACGGAAUUUUUUUAAAAAACUCGCUCAGAACCUUGUGAGAAAUCAUGAGUGUUUGGACUCUGGGGGGAGUAUGGUCGCAAGUCUGAAACUUAAAGGAAUUGACGGAAGGGCACACAAUGGAGUGGAACCUGCGGCUUAAUUUGACUCAACUCGGGAAAACUUACCAAGCUCAGAUAUAAUAAGGAUUGACAGACUAAAAGAUCUUUCAUGAUUGUAUAAGUGGUGGUGCAUGGUCGUUCUUAGUUGGUGGAGUGAUUUGUCUGGUCAAUUCCGAUAACGGACGAGACGUCUACUUGCUAACUAGUAAAAUUAAUUUUUUCGCUCGGGGAUAGUUAGUUUGUAUUGAUCUUUAUCAUCGCAAGGUGGUAAUUUUCGUAUAGAUUGAUGUGUACCUUGGAAAAAUAAAUUUUUUCAUAAACAUUAAACUUCUUAGAAGGACUACCUACCUCAAGUGGGGGGAAGUCGGACGCAAUAACAGGUCUGUGAUGCCCUUAGAUACCUUGGGCUGCACGCGCGUUACAAUGUAGAAAAGAAAAAGGCUUCCCGGAGCCGUAAGGCUCUGGUAAUCAUAUGAAUUUUCUACGUAAUAGGGAUUGAUCUUUGUAAUUAUCGAUCAUAAACGAGGAAUUCCUUGUAAGCGUAAAUCAUUACUUUACGCUGAAUAUGUCCCUGCCCUUUGUACACACCGCCCGUCGCUCCUACCGAUCGAACGAUUAGGUAAAAUUGACGGACUUUGACAUACUAGAAAUAGCUUGUUUUUGAAAGUUAUUUAAAUCUCAUUGUUUAGAGGAAGGAGAAGUCGUAACAAGGUAUCCGUAGGUGAACCUGCAGAAGGAUCAA